This 234-nucleotide unclassified non-coding RNA is filed under the name Ascomycota sp. RNAcentral describes it as "partial contains small subunit ribosomal RNA, internal transcribed spacer 1, and 5.8S ribosomal RNA". Lineage: Eukaryota; Fungi; Ascomycota. The record is from RNAcentral.
AAAGUCGUAAUAAGGUCUCCGUUGGUGAACUAGCGGAGGGAUCAUUAUAGAGUUUACGCUCUAAACCUAAUGUGAACAUUUCCCUGUUUUAGCUGUUGCCUCGGCGGGCCGGGCCGGCGCCCUCGGCGCCGGACCCCCGCCGGUAGCACCAAACUCUUGAUUUAUAGCGGAAUUAUUACUCUGAGUACCAAUACAAAUAAGUAAAAACUUUCAACAACGGAUCUCUUGGUUCUG